Molecule: long non-coding RNA, 674 nt
Filed under: Medicago truncatula (barrel medic)
Lineage: Eukaryota; Viridiplantae; Streptophyta; Magnoliopsida; Fabales; Fabaceae
Description: long non-coding RNA (MTRU_LNC004616)
Source: RNAcentral
UCACUUCAAACUUCUCUCUCUUCUCUUAUUUCUAGAGAGAGAGGCUCUGCCUUCUCUCUAGAAUCCUUCAUCUUCUCCGAUGAGAAGAGAGGUGGCCGGAGGUGGUUCCGGCGCGGUGGCCGGUGAGUUUUCACGGCGGCGCCACCGCGCCGGAGUCAAAAACUCCUCUUUUUUUGAUUUUUUUUUACCAAAAGAUUAACCUUUCCUUUCUCCUUUCUUUUUUGAAAACGUUUUUCUGAAAUGAGCUUUAACGGACCCUAGAUCUACAAAAAGGGUUACUACCUUUUUAUUGUUUUUUUUUCUUGAUCUGGAUCUGUGUUGGUUUGGUGGUGGUGUUUCACGGUUUUGAUGUUUGUGAAUGGGGUUUGAUUUGAGUAUGAUGGUUUGGAAUUAGGAUUGUGGAUACGUGAUUCUGAUGUUGUGUGCGUGAUUGAUGCUUAGUUGAUGCGUUUGGGUUUUUGUGAAGAUUUGAAUCGAAAGAGGUUGAAUGAAAAUUGUUUUGUUGGAAAGUUGAUUAGGGCUGGAAUUUUGUUAGUUGGUAGUGUGUGUUUGCUGGAAAAUUGUUCUCUGUAUUUUUAGUUUAUUGCUAUUUUUUGCUGUUGGGGCCCCUCCCUUUGUCUGUGUGCAGGUGGUUAUAUUUAUAGAGCUGAAUUUCUGUUGCUUGGAGAGGAACA